This 467-nucleotide ribosomal RNA is filed under the name uncultured bacterium. Its description in RNAcentral is "partial 16S ribosomal RNA". It matches the Rfam family "Bacterial small subunit ribosomal RNA", at positions 28 to 507 of the family's 1533-position model. The record is from RNAcentral.
GACGAACGCUGGCGGCGUGCUUAACACAUGCAAGUCGAACGGAAAGGCCCUGCUUUUGUGGGGUGCUCGAGUGGCGAACGGGUGAGUAACACGUGAGUAACCUGCCCUUGACUUUGGGAUAACUUCAGGAAACUGGGGCUAAUACCGGAUAGGAGCUCCUGCUGCAUGGUGGGGGUUGGAAAGUUUCGGCGGUUGGGGAUGGACUCGCGGCUUAUCAGCUUGUUGGUGGGGUAGUGGCUUACCAAGGCUUUGACGGGUAGCCGGCCUGAGAGGGUGACCGGCCACAUUGGGACUGAGAUACGGCCCAGACUCCUACGGGAGGCAGCAGUGGGGAAUAUUGCACAAUGGGCGGAAGCCUGAUGCAGCAACGCCGCGUGCGGGAGGACGGCCUUCGGGUUGUAAACCGCUUUCGCCUGUGACGAAGCGUGAGUGACGGGAAUGGGGAAGAAGCACCGGCUAACUACGUG